GCGCCCCGGUUGGAUGCGGAACGGUUUNCAAAGGCUGGUCCGCCGCUCAACGCGGGGCGCUGGUCAGCGUGUGCCGUGGCGCCGGCACAAGAGCGGGGUGUGUUCCCCGCCGAUGCCGGCGCGGCGGCCGAGGCAAGAAGCGCGCGCCUUCAGGCGUGGGGAAACCCGACUGCGCGCUCGGGACGCUGGCGUACUGGGCUCUCCAUCCGACCCGUCUUGAAACACGGACCAAGGAGUCUAACAUGCAUGCGAGCCGGUGGGCGGCAAACCCAUUGAGGCGCAAGGAACCUGACAGGUGGGACCCCGACCGCGAGGGAGGGCGCACCAUCGACCGACCGUGAUCUUCUGUGAAAGGUUUGAGUGGGAGCAUGCCUGUUGGGACCCGAAAGAUGGUGAACUAUGCCUGAGCAGGGCGAAGCCAGGGGAAACCCUGGUGGAGGCUCGUAGCGAUACUGACGUGCAAAUCGUUCGUCAGACUUGGGUAUAGGGGCGAAAGACUAAUCGAACCAUCUAGUAGCUGGUUCCCUCCGAAGUUUCCCUCAGGAUAGCUGGAGCUCGUGAAGUUUUAUCAGGUAAAGCGAAUGAUUAGAGGCAUCGGGGGUGCAACACCCUCGACCUAUUCUCAAACUUUAAAUGGGUAAGCCGCCGGGGUUGCUCGG
This 659-nucleotide ribosomal RNA is filed under the name Jirivanaea esmeraldica. RNAcentral's name for it is "eukaryotic LSU rRNA". It matches the Rfam family "Eukaryotic large subunit ribosomal RNA", at positions 438 to 1094 of the family's 3401-position model. Lineage: Eukaryota; Viridiplantae; Streptophyta; Bryopsida; Hypnales; Sematophyllaceae. The record is from RNAcentral.